GAUGAACGCUAGCGGCAGGCCUAACACAUGCAAGUCGAGGGGUAGAGUUCUUCGGGACUUGAGACCGGCGCACGGGUGCGUAACGCGUAUGCAAUCUACCUUAUACAGGGGAAUAGCCCAGAGAAAUUUGGAUUAAUGCCCCAUAGUGUUAUCGAAUCGCAUGGUUUGAUAACUAAAGUUCCAACGGUAUAAGAUGAGCAUGCGUCCAUUAGUUAGUUGGUAAGGUAACGGCUUACCAAGACAAUGAUGGUAGGGUCCUGAGAGGGAGAUCCCCCACACUGGUACUGAGACACGGACCAGACUCCUACGGGAGGCAGCAGUGAGGAAUAUUGGUCAAUGGGCGCAAGCCUGAACCAGCCAUGCCGCGUGCAGGAAGACGGUCCUAUGGAUGUAAACUGCUUUAUACAGGAAGAAACCCUCC
RNAcentral lists this ribosomal RNA (421 nucleotides) under uncultured bacterium. RNAcentral's name for it is "bacterial SSU rRNA". It matches the Rfam family "Bacterial small subunit ribosomal RNA", at positions 28 to 455 of the family's 1533-position model. The record is from RNAcentral.